Meriones unguiculatus (Mongolian gerbil) is the source of this 707-nucleotide long non-coding RNA. RefSeq lists it as uncharacterized. The record is from RefSeq and is a predicted model, not a curated record. Lineage: Eukaryota; Metazoa; Chordata; Mammalia; Rodentia; Muridae. The transcript is spliced from 6 exons.
UGCAGUCAGAAGCCCAGGAUCCCAGAACUGUGAGGGGCCAGACCCGAGCCAGCGAAAGCCUCUGUGGACACACAGCCUUCGCUCUAGACUGGUCUCCCUCUGCGCCCGCUCCCUUUCCUGAUGCUAAGAUAAAAUACAAGCUCCCAGCUGCCGCUCCAGCGCCAUGCCCGCCUGCCUGCUGCCGUGCUCCCCACCACAAGGAUAAUCGCUAACCCUCUGGAACUACAACCUGGAAGUUGGCGCAGAGUAUGAAGGAAGAAAAGCAAAGACAGUGCAGGAAAGAGUUCUGCAAACGAGCAAGUGUCCGAGUUGGCCUACAGAACACCCAACCGUGACCACCGCUUCGCCUGGGAAAAAUAGUCUUCAGUAAAGAUCUGAUGAGGUUUCAAGACUCUUCCUGCAGAAAAAUACAUACCCAAAGUCCAGUUACCUUCCUAUUGCUGAGAAGAGACACCGUGACCAAGGCAACUUCUAAAAGAAAACAUUUAAUUGGGGCUUUGCUUACAAGCCUGAAUCACCCGUAUCACAGCAAGAUUUUUACUUGAAUGACCCAGACAGACUACACCAAUUUUCUGCUUUCUUUUGCUGUGGAAACUGGGCUGUUAGUGGCUACCUUUGAAAUAGUAGAAUGUAUCAAAAAACCAAGGUUGUAACCUAGAAAAAUUUCUACAAUUUCAUUAUUGGGUGUUUCUUAAUAAAGUGUAUGA